This 388-nucleotide ribosomal RNA is filed under the name uncultured bacterium. RNAcentral describes it as "bacterial SSU rRNA". It matches the Rfam family "Bacterial small subunit ribosomal RNA", at positions 29 to 417 of the family's 1533-position model. The record is from RNAcentral.
AUUGAACGCUGGCGGCAUGCCUUACACAUGCAAGUCGAACGGCAGCACGGGGGCAACCCUGGUGGCGAGUGGCGAACGGGUGAGUAAUGCAUCGGAACGUGCCCAGUAGUGGGGGAUAACUAGUCGAAAGAUUAGCUAAUACCGCAUACGACCUAUGGGUGAAAGCGGGGGAUUCGCAAGAACCUCGCGCUAUCGGAGCGGCCGAUGUCUGAUUAGCUAGUGGCGGGGUAAAGGCCCACCAAGGCUUCGAUCAGUAGCUGGUCUGAGAGGACGACCAGCCACACUGGGACUGAGACACGGCCCAGACUCCUACGGGAGGCAGCAGUGGGGAAUUUUGGACAAUGGGCGCAAGCCUGAUCCAGCCAUGCCGCGUGCGGGAAGAAGGCCU